Molecule: ribosomal RNA, 701 nt
Filed under: uncultured bacterium
Lineage: Bacteria
Description: bacterial SSU rRNA
Rfam family: Bacterial small subunit ribosomal RNA
Source: RNAcentral
CGACAGAUGAAUAGCUUGCUUAUUUCGUUAGUGGCGCACGGGUGAGUAAUGUAUAGCUAACCUGCCCUUUAGUGGGGGACAACAGAUGGAAACGUCUGCUAAUACCCCAUACUCCUGCUUAUCAUACGGUAAGUUGGGAAAGAUUUAUUGCUAAAGGAUGGGGCUUUAUGGUAUCAGCUAGUUGGUGGGGUAACGGCCUACCAAGGCAAUGACGCCUACCUGGUCUGAGAGGAUGAUCAGGCACACUGAAACUGAGACACGGUCCAGACUCCUACGGGAGGCAGCAGUGGGGAAUAUUGCACAAUGGGGGAAACCCUGAUGCAGCAAACGCCGCGUGGAGGAUGACGCAUUUCGGUGUGUAAACUCCUUUUAUAAGGGAAGAUAAUGACGGUACCUUAUGAAUAAGCACCGGCUAACUCCGUGCCAGCAGCCGCGGUAAUACGGAGGGUGCAAGCGUUACUCGGAAUCACUGGGCGUAAAGGAUGCGUAGGCUGUAAUAUAAGUCAGAAGUGAAAUCCACCGGCUUAACCGUUGAACUGCUUUUUGAAACUGUUUUACUAAAAUAUGGGAGAGGUAGAUGGAAUUGGGUGGUGUAGGGGUAAAAUCCGUAGAUAUCACCAGGAAAUACCCGAUUGCCGAAGGCGAUCUACUGGAAACAUAUUGACGCUGAGGCAUGAAAGCGUGGGGGGGCCAAACAGGAU